This 101-nucleotide small RNA is filed under the name Escherichia coli. RNAcentral's name for it is "partial RtT sRNA". It matches the Rfam family "RtT RNA", at positions 32 to 130 of the family's 130-position model. From Rfam's summary of the family: This family represents a bacterial cis-regulatory element known as RtT RNA. The record is from RNAcentral. Lineage: Bacteria; Pseudomonadati; Pseudomonadota; Gammaproteobacteria; Enterobacterales; Enterobacteriaceae.
UCGACUAAGGUUCGACUCGAGCGCCAGCGAGAGAGCGUUGCCGCAGGCAACGACCCGAAGGGCGAAGCGCGCAGCGCUGAGUAAUCCUUCCCCCACCACCA